CUCUACAUAGUAGUGAAAUUUCCUGAAGAAGAUGAUGCUGUUGCCAUUAUACAUAAAAACUGGAUCGAUGGCAACGGCUGCAUGUGGCCUCCACAAACAAAAUACAUAAAAAGCUUGUUAAAAGCUGGGGCCAUGCCUGGAAAUGACUGGAGGAGUCUGCCUUGUGAAGUGGUUGAGGCAUUUGCCAAUUACGAAGAUGCUGUACGGGGCCUCAGAAAAGCUGAAGACAACUCAGACAUCGCAAGUGCAAGUGAACGUGGCAGAGGAAAAAGGAAAAAGAAAAGAAGGCUCUACAGUGACGAAGACGAGAUGCCACUCCCACAGCCACCACAGUCUAUGCAGAAAAGAGCAACACAUGGUAUUGCAGAAAGAUCUGCAAGGAUGGAACCGUCAAGUAUUUCGACUGUUUCACAGCACUUGGCA
Molecule: long non-coding RNA, 423 nt
Organism: Dermacentor andersoni
Lineage: Eukaryota; Metazoa; Arthropoda; Arachnida; Ixodida; Ixodidae
Source: RefSeq, a predicted model, not a curated record